RNAcentral lists this ribosomal RNA (760 nucleotides) under uncultured Bacilli bacterium. RNAcentral describes it as "bacterial SSU rRNA". It matches the Rfam family "Bacterial small subunit ribosomal RNA", at positions 42 to 774 of the family's 1533-position model. Lineage: Bacteria; Bacillati; Bacillota; Bacilli. The record is from RNAcentral.
GCGUGCCUAAUACAUGCAAGUCGAACGCUUCUUUUUCCACCGGAGCUUGCUCCACCGGAAAAAGAAGAGUGGCGAACGGGUGAGUAACACGUGGGUAACCUGCCCAUCAGAAGGGGAUAACACUUGGAAACAGGUGCUAAUACCGUAUAACAAUCAAAACCGCAUGGUUUUGAUUUGAAAGGCGCUUUCGGGUGUCGCUGAUGGAUGGACCCGCGGUGCAUUAGCUAGUUGGUGAGGUAACGGCUCACCAAGGCCACGAUGCAUAGCCGACCUGAGAGGGUGAUCGGCCACAUUGGGACUGAGACACGGCCCAAACUCCUACGGGAGGCAGCAGUAGGGAAUCUUCGGCAAUGGGCGAAAGUCUGACCGAGCAACGCCGCGUGAGUGAAGAAGGUUUUCGGAUCGUAAAACUCUGUUGUUAGAGAAGAACAAGGAUGAGAGUAACUGUCCAUCCCUUGACGGUAUCUAACCAGAAAGCCACGGCUAACUACGUGCCAGCAGCCGCGGUAAUACGUAGGUGGCAAGCGUUGUCCGGAUUUAUUGGGCGUAAAGCGAGCGCAGGCGGUUUCUUAAGUCUGAUGUGAAAGCCCCCGGCUCAACCGGGGAGGGUCAUUGGAAACUGGGAGACUUGAGUGCAGAAGAGGAGAGUGGAAUUCCAUGUGUAGCGGUGAAAUGCGUAGAUAUAUGGAGGAACACCAGUGGCGAAGGCGGCUCUCUGGUCUGUAACUGACGCUGAGGCUCGAAGCGUGGGGAGCAAACA